UACAGAGAGUGCGAACGUUGUUCGGAAUUACUGGGCUUAAAGCGCACGUAGGCGGCAUCGUAAGUGUCUGGUGAAAUCCCACGGCUCACCCGUGGAACUGCCAGGCAUACUGUGAUGCUCGAGUGUGGUAGGGGAGAGCGGAACUCCUGGUGGAGCGGUGAAAUGCGUAGAUAUCAGGAGGAACACCGGUGGCGAAGGCGGCUCUCUGGUCCACAACUGACGCUGAGGUGCGAAAGCGUGGGGAGCAAAC
This 250-nucleotide ribosomal RNA is filed under the name uncultured bacterium. Its description in RNAcentral is "partial 16S ribosomal RNA". It matches the Rfam family "Bacterial small subunit ribosomal RNA", at positions 524 to 773 of the family's 1533-position model. The record is from RNAcentral.